RNAcentral lists this transfer RNA (94 nucleotides) under Capnocytophaga canimorsus Cc5. Its description in RNAcentral is "tRNA-Sec". It matches the Rfam family "tRNA". Rfam says of the family: Transfer RNA (tRNA) molecules are approximately 80 nucleotides in length. Their secondary structure includes four short double-helical elements and three loops (D, anti-codon, and T loops). RNAcentral also lists the same sequence under 1 other name. The record is from RNAcentral. Lineage: Bacteria; Pseudomonadati; Bacteroidota; Flavobacteriia; Flavobacteriales; Flavobacteriaceae.
GCAACGUUGGUGUAAGGGUAGCACACAAGCCUUCAAAGCUUGGUAGCGUAUCUCCAGUACGCAGGAGUGGGUUCGAGUCCCAUACGUUGCUCAA